UAGGGAAUCUUCCACAAUGGACGCAAGUCUGAUGGAGCAACGCCGCGUGAGUGAAGAAGGUCUUCGGAUCGUAAAGCUCUGUUGUUGGUGAAGAAGGAUAGAGGCAGUAACUGGUCUUUAUUUGACGGUAAUCAACCAGAAAGUCACGGCUAACUACGUGCCAGCAGCCGCGGUAAUACGUAGGUGGCAAGCGUUGUCCGGAUUUAUUGGGCGUAAAGCGAGCGCAGGCGGAAUGAUAAGUCUGAUGUGAAAGCCCACGGCUCAACCGUGGAACUGCAUCGGAAACUGUCAUUCUUGAGUGCAGAAGAGGAGAGUGGAACUCCAUGUGUAGCGGUGGAAUGCGUAGAUAUAUGGAAGAACACCAGUGGCGAAGGCGGCUCUCUGGUCUGCAACUGACGCUGAGGCUCGAAAGCAUGGGUAGCGAACAGGAUUAGAUACCCUGGUAGUCCAUGCCGUAAACGAUGAGCGCUAGGUGUUGGGGACUUUCCGGUUCUCAGUGCCGCAGCA
Molecule: ribosomal RNA, 507 nt
Filed under: uncultured bacterium
Lineage: Bacteria
Description: partial 16S ribosomal RNA
Rfam family: Bacterial small subunit ribosomal RNA
Source: RNAcentral